This 492-nucleotide ribosomal RNA is filed under the name uncultured bacterium. Its description in RNAcentral is "partial 16S ribosomal RNA". It matches the Rfam family "Bacterial small subunit ribosomal RNA", at positions 29 to 507 of the family's 1533-position model. The record is from RNAcentral.
AGUGAACGCUGGCGGUAGGCCUAACACAUGCCAGUCGAACGGCAGCACAGUAAGAGCUUGCUCUUACGGGUGGCGAGUGGCGGACGGGUGAGGAAUACAUCGGAGUCUACUUUUUCGUGGGGGAUAACGUAGGGAAACUUACGCUAAUACCGCAUACGACCUACGGGUGAAAGCAGGGGAUCUUCGGACCUUGCGCGAUUGAAUGAGCCGAUGUCGGAUUAGCUAGUUGGCGGGGUAAAGGCCCACCAAGGCGACGAUCCGUAGCUGGUCUGAGAGGAUGAUCAGCCACACUGGAACUGAGACACGGUCCAGACUCCUACGGGAGGCAGCAGUGGGGAAUAUUGGACAAUGGGCGAAAGCCUGAUCCAGCCAUACCGCGUGGGUGAAGAAGGCCUUCGGGUUGUAAAGCACUUUUGUUGGGAAAGAAAAGCAGCAGGUUAAUACCCCGCUGUUCUGACGGUACCAAAAGAAUAAGCACCGGCUAACUUCGUG